RNAcentral lists this ribosomal RNA (711 nucleotides) under uncultured bacterium. Its description in RNAcentral is "bacterial SSU rRNA". It matches the Rfam family "Bacterial small subunit ribosomal RNA", at positions 105 to 801 of the family's 1533-position model. The record is from RNAcentral.
GGUGAGUAACACGUGGGCAACCUACCUAUAAGACUGGGAUAACUCGCGGAAACGUGAGCUAAUACCGGAUAAUACUUUUUAUUGCAUAAUAAGAAGUUUGAAAGACGGCGUAAGCUGUCACUUAUAGAUGGGCCCGCGGCGCAUUAGCUAGUUGGUGAGGUAAAGGCUUACCAAGGCAACGAUGCGUAGCCGACCUGAGAGGGUGAUCGGCCACACUGGGACUGAGACACGGCCCAGACUCCUACGGGAGGCAGCAGUAGGGAAUCUUCCGCAAUGGACGAAAGUCUGACGGAGCAACGCCGCGUGAGUGAAGAAGGUUUUCGGAUCGUAAAACUCUGUUGUUAGGGAAGAACAAGUCAGGUAGUAACUGACCUGACCUUGACGGUACCUAACCAGAAAGCCACGGCUAACUACGUGCCAGCAGCCGCGGUAAUACGUAGGUGGCAAGCGUUGUCCGGAUUUAUUGGGCGUAAAGCGCUCGUAGGCGGUCUUUUAAGUCUGAUGUGAAAGCCCACGGCCUAACCGUGGAGGGUCAUUGGAAACUGGAGGACUUGAGUGCAGAAGAGGAGAGUGGAAUUCCAUGUGUAGCGGUGAAAUGCGUAGAGAUAUGGAGGAACACCAGUGGCGAAGGCGACUCUCUGGUCUGUAACUGACGCUGANGAGCGAAAGCGUGGGUAGCGAACAGGAUUAGAUACCCUGGUAGUCCACGCC